Molecule: ribosomal RNA, 304 nt
Filed under: uncultured bacterium
Lineage: Bacteria
Description: bacterial SSU rRNA
Rfam family: Bacterial small subunit ribosomal RNA
Source: RNAcentral
UUAAAGGGUUACGGUACAGGAUGGGCAUGCGUCCUAUUAGCUAGAUGGUAAGGUACGGCUUACCAUGGCUACGAUAGGUAGGGGUCCUGAGAGGGAGAUCCCCCACACUGGUACUGAGACACGGACCAGACUCCUACGGGAGGCAGCAGUGAGGAAUAUUGGACAAUGGGCGCAAGCCUGAUCCAGCCAUGCCGCGUGCAGGAAGACGCGUCUAUGGUGUGUAAACUGCUUUUGUACGGGAAGAAACACUCCCUCGUGAGGGAGCUUGACGGUACCGUAAGAAUAAGGAUCGGCUAACUCCGUG